UGAGGCUUCUUUCAAAGUCAAUGCUGAA
This 28-nucleotide non-coding RNA is filed under the name Mus musculus (house mouse). Lineage: Eukaryota; Metazoa; Chordata; Mammalia; Rodentia; Muridae. The record is from RNAcentral.